RNAcentral lists this ribosomal RNA (497 nucleotides) under uncultured bacterium. RNAcentral's name for it is "partial 16S ribosomal RNA". It matches the Rfam family "Bacterial small subunit ribosomal RNA", at positions 28 to 507 of the family's 1533-position model. The record is from RNAcentral.
GAUGAACGCUGGCGGCGUGCCUAAUACAUGCAAGUCGAGCGAACAGACGAGGAGCUUGCUCCUCUGACGUUAGCGGCGGACGGGUGAGUAACACGUGGAUAACCUACCUAUAAGACUGGGAUAACUUCGGGAAACCGGAGCUAAUACCGGAUAAUAUAUUGAACCGCAUGGUUCAAUAGUGAAAGACGGUUUUGCUGUCACUUAUAGAUGGAUCCGCGCCGCAUUAGCUAGUUGGUAAGGUAACGGCUUACCAAGGCAAUGAUGCGUAGCCGACCUGAGAGGGUGAUCGGCCACACUGGAACUGAGACACGGUCCAGACUCCUACGGGAGGCAGCAGUAGGGAAUCUUCCGCAAUGGGCGAAAGCCUGACGGAGCAACGCCGCGUGAGUGAUGAAGGUCCUCGGAUCGUAAAACUCUGUUAUUAGGGAAGAACAAAUGUGUAAGUAACUAUGCACGUCUUGACGGUACCUAAUCAGAAAGCCACGGCUAACUACGUG